This 520-nucleotide ribosomal RNA is filed under the name Chrysochroa purpureiventris marinae. Its description in RNAcentral is "partial 16S ribosomal RNA". It matches the Rfam family "Bacterial large subunit ribosomal RNA", at positions 1812 to 2603 of the family's 2925-position model. Lineage: Eukaryota; Metazoa; Arthropoda; Insecta; Coleoptera; Buprestidae. The record is from RNAcentral.
AAAACAUGUCCUUUUGAUUAUAAUUUAAGGUCUGGCCUGCUCAAUGAUUAAUUAAAUAGCCGCGAUAAUCUGAUCGUGCGAAGGUAGCAUAAUCAUUAGUUUUUUAAUUGGGAACUGGAAUGAAGGGUUGGACGAGAUUGGGACUGUCUCAAGCUUAAUUAAUUGGAAUUUUAUUUCUGGGUCAAAAAGCCUAGAUUUUUCUUAAAGACGAGAAGACCCUAUAGAGUUUAAUAUUUUCUAAUGUUGGACUUGUUGAGGAAUUGAUUUGGUUUAUAUUAGGAAUUAUUUAAUUGGGGUGAUUGAAGAAAUGAUUUAACUUCUUUUUUUUUGAACACUAAUUAGUGAGUUGAUUGAUCCAUGAUUUUGAUUAAAAGAUAAAAUUACCUUAGGGAUAACAGCGUAAUUUUUUUUGAGAGUUCUUAUCGAAAAAGGAGUUUGCGACCUCGAUGUUGGAUUAAAGUUUAUUUUUGGCGUAGAAGUUAAAAUAUUUGGUCUGUUCGACCAUUAAAACUUUACAUGA